This 47-nucleotide non-coding RNA is filed under the name Schistosoma mattheei. Lineage: Eukaryota; Metazoa; Platyhelminthes; Trematoda; Strigeidida; Schistosomatidae. The record is from RNAcentral.
AUCCAGCUGACGAGUCCCAAAAUAGGACGAAAACCCACGUCUUGGAU